GUGACGAACUAAGGGUCUCCUGAAUCGUGAAGAGACGCUUUAGCUGA
RNAcentral lists this small nucleolar RNA (47 nucleotides) under Pyrobaculum islandicum DSM 4184. RNAcentral's name for it is "PISsR104". The record is from RNAcentral. Lineage: Archaea; Thermoproteati; Thermoproteota; Thermoprotei; Thermoproteales; Thermoproteaceae.